Cebus imitator (Panamanian white-faced capuchin) is the source of this 75-nucleotide small nucleolar RNA. RefSeq annotates it as small nucleolar RNA SNORD113/SNORD114 family. NCBI's taxonomy places the organism in Eukaryota, Metazoa, Chordata, Mammalia, Primates, Cebidae. The transcript has a single exon. The record is from RefSeq and is a predicted model, not a curated record.
UGGACCAGUGAUGACAGCCGCCGGCAUGUAAGCAUUAGGUGAUGGAUAAUACGUAUCUGGAGCUCUGAGGUCCAA